This 404-nucleotide long non-coding RNA is filed under the name Anas platyrhynchos platyrhynchos (common mallard). RNAcentral describes it as "lncRNA (ENSAPLG00000023886.1)". The record is from RNAcentral. Lineage: Eukaryota; Metazoa; Chordata; Aves; Anseriformes; Anatidae.
CUGGGGAUGAAUUUUGCAAGACAUUUGUAUUCAGAAAAACUGAACAGGCACAGCACAGGACUUGGCCAGAAUAUAAUAACUACACUGUAUUUAUCUUAAUGCCUAUGCUCAGUCUGUCCUAGAUGACCAGCUGUGAAAGGACUUCCAUGAAAGAAAUGGAACAGUGCCUUUUCCGUCAAAGCAGUAUGUAAACAGAAGCUGAGGAAAAGGUGGGAGGAAGCGAGUCUGGUGUGUGAGAAGAAUGGAUGUUUUUGUCCUCUUUGCAGGCUGCAUCUGAAAGGCAGUGGCAAGAAAGAGCUUAGAUGAAAACGUCAGCCUGCACAACACUAAAGACAAAACCUGGCAUCAAUAUAUUAUUGACUGUGAUGGGGAAGAGGUCUGAGCGAAGCCCACGGUGCUGGUUG